This 24-nucleotide non-coding RNA is filed under the name Cricetulus griseus (Chinese hamster). The record is from RNAcentral. Lineage: Eukaryota; Metazoa; Chordata; Mammalia; Rodentia; Cricetidae.
AAUAGUAUGAAGGCUCCUAGUAGG